RNAcentral lists this ribosomal RNA (87 nucleotides) under Billgrantia campisalis. Lineage: Bacteria; Pseudomonadati; Pseudomonadota; Gammaproteobacteria; Oceanospirillales; Halomonadaceae. The record is from RNAcentral.
UGAUCCCAUGCCGAACUCAGCAGUGAAACCGCUCAGCGCCGAUGGUAGUGUGGGGCUUCCCCAUGCGAGAGUAGGUCAUCGUCAGGC